AUGAAAAUUAUUAUAUAUCGGUGGUGCAAAUUAGCAAGAUAAUAAUGCCCUCAGGCUUAAAUUCACCAUCUUCAUCACCUUCUCCAUCAGUACCUUCACCUUCUCCAUCAGUACCUUCACCUUCUUCGUCAGUACCUUCACCUUCUCCAUCAUCUCCUCUUUCAUCACCUACUUCAUCAACUCUCAAUAUAACCAAAAUUCUAAACGACUAUCCAGAUUUCAACCAAUUCAAUAGUUACCU
Molecule: long non-coding RNA, 241 nt
Filed under: Malus domestica (apple)
Lineage: Eukaryota; Viridiplantae; Streptophyta; Magnoliopsida; Rosales; Rosaceae
Description: long non-coding RNA (MDOM_LNC017713)
Source: RNAcentral